Non-coding RNA from Mycobacterium shinjukuense, 171 nucleotides. Lineage: Bacteria; Bacillati; Actinomycetota; Actinomycetes; Mycobacteriales; Mycobacteriaceae. The record is from Rfam.
CAAGCACCUCGUUAGGUGAGGCGGCUACCCGAACACAGGCCACUGACCCCGAACGUCGAGAGACGCCCCGGGUCAGGACAGCUCCUCCCGGCUUAAGGGUUGAGCCCAGGUGGCUUCCGGUCUUCCCGGACACGUCGUGUGGUGCCAAAGCUCUGACGAGUGGGGUGCGGA